GCAGCAGCCGCGGUAAUACGGAGGGUGCAAGCGUUAAUCGGAGUUACUGGGCGUAAAGCGUGCGCAGGCGGUUCGUUAAGACAGAUGUGAAAUCCCCGGGCUUAACCUGGGAACUGCAUUUGUGACUGGCGAGCUAGAGUAUGGCAGAGGGGGGUAGAAUUCCACGUGUAGCAGUGAAACGCGUAGAGAUGUGGAGGAAUACCGAUGGCGAAGGCAGCCCCCUGGGCCAAUACUGACGCUCAUGCACGAAAGCGUGGGGAGCAAACAGGAUUAGAUACCCCUGUAGUCCCUGUCUCUUAUAC
This 302-nucleotide ribosomal RNA is filed under the name uncultured bacterium. RNAcentral describes it as "partial 16S ribosomal RNA". It matches the Rfam family "Bacterial small subunit ribosomal RNA", at positions 508 to 807 of the family's 1533-position model. The record is from RNAcentral.